GGUUAAGCGACUAAGCGUACACGGUGGAUGCCCUGGCAGUCAGAGGCGAUGAAGGACGUGCUAAUCUGCGAUAAGCGUCGGUAAGGUGAUAUGAACCGUUAUAACCGGCGAUUUCCGAAUGGGGAAACCCAGUGUGAUUCGUCACACUAUCAUUACGUGAAUACAUAGCGUAAUGAAGCGAACCGGGGGAACUGAAACAUCUAAGUACCCCGAGGAAAAGAAAUCAACCGAGAUUCCCCCAGUAGCGGCGAGCGAACGGGGAGCAGCCCAGAGUCUGAAUCAGCUUGUGUGUUAGUGGAACGGUCUGGAAAGUCCGACGGUACAGGGUGAUAGUCCCGUACACCAAAAUGCACAGGUUGUGAACUCGAAGAGUAGGGCGGGACACGUGGUAUCCUGUCUGAAUAUGGGGGGACCAUCCUCCAAGGCUAAAUACUCCUGACUGACCGAUAGUGAACCAGUACCGUGAGGGAAAGGCGAAAAGAACCCCGGCGAGGGGAGUGAAAAAGAACCUGAAACCGUGUACGUACAAGCAGUGGGAGCCUCUUUAUGGGGUGACUGCGUACCUUUUGUAUAAUGGGUCAGCGACUUAUAUUCUGUAGCAAGGUUAACCGUAUAGGGGAGCCGAAGGGAAACCGAGUCUUAACUGGGCGUUAAGUUGCAGGGUAUAGACCCGAAACCCGGUGAUCUAGCCAUGGGCAGGUUGAAGGUUGGGUAACACUAACUGGAGGACCGAACCGACUAAUGUUGAAAAAUUAGCGGAUGACUUGUGGCUGGGGGUGAAAGGCCAAUCAAACCGGGAGAUAGCUGGUUCUCCCCGAAAGCUAUUUAGGUAGCGCCUCGUGAACUCAUCUUCGGGGGUAGAGCACUGUUUCGGCUAGGGGGUCAUCCCGACUUACCAACCCGAUGCAAACUGCGAAUACCGAAGAAUGUUAUCACGGGAGACACACGGCGGGUGCUAACGUCCGUCGUGAAGAGGGAAACAACCCAGACCGCCAGCUAAGGUCCCAAAGUCAUGGUUAAGUGGGAAACGAUGUGGGAAGGCACAGACAGCCAGGAUGUUGGCUUAGAAGCAGCCAUCAUUUAAAGAAAGCGUAAUAGCUCACUGGUCGAGUCGGCCUGCGCGGAAGAUGUAACGGGGCUAAACNNNNNNNNNNNNNNNNNNNNNNNNNNNNNNNNNNNNNNNNNNNNNNNNNNUGCUGGAGGUAUCAGAAGUGCGAAUGCUGACAUAAGUAACGAUAAUGCGGGUGAAAAACCCGCACGCCGGAAGACCAAGGGUUCCUGUCCAACGUUAAUCGGGGCAGGGUGAGUCGACCCCUAAGGCGAGGCCGAAAGGCGUAGUCGAUGGGAAACAGGUUAAUAUUCCUGUACUUGGUGUUACUGCGAAGGGGGGACGGAGAAGGCUAUGUUAGCCGGGCGACGGUUGUCCCGGUUUAAGCAUGUAGGCGGAGGUUCCAGGUAAAUCCGGUACCUUUUUAACGCUGAGGUGUGAUGACGAGGCACUACGGUGCUGAAGUAACAAAUGCCCUGCUUCCAGGAAAAGCCUCUAAGCAUCAGGUAACACGAAAUCGUACCCCAAACCGACACAGGUGGUCAGGUAGAGAAUACCAAGGCGCUUGAGAGAACUCGGGUGAAGGAACUAGGCAAAAUGGUGCCGUAACUUCGGGAGAAGGCACGCUGAUAUGUAGGUGAAGUGAUUUACUCAUGGAGCUGAAAUCAGUCGAAGAUACCAGCUGGCUGCAACUGUUUAUUAAAAACACAGCACUGUGCAAACACGAAAGUGGACGUAUACGGUGUGACGCCUGCCCGGUGCCGGAAGGUUAAUUGAUGGGGUUAUCCGUAAGGAGAAGCUCUUGAUCGAAGCCCCGGUAAACGGCGGCCGUAACUAUAACGGUCCUAAGGUAGCGAAAUUCCUUGUCGGGUAAGUUCCGACCUGCACGAAUGGCGUAAUGAUGGCCAGGCUGUCUCCACCCGAGACUCAGUGAAAUUGAACUCGCUGUGAAGAUGCAGUGUACCCGCGGCAAGACGGAAAGACCCCGUGAACCUUUACUAUAGCUUGACACUGAACACUGGUCCUUGAUGUGUAGGAUAGGUGGGAGGCUUUGAAGUGUGGACGCCAGUCUGCAUGGAGCCAUCCUUGAAAUACCACCCUUUAAUGGCUGGUGUUCUAACGUGGACCCGUUACCCGGGUUGCGGACAGUGUCUGGUGGGUAGUUUGACUGGGGCGGUCUCCUCCUAAAGAGUAACGGAGGAGCACGAAGGUUAGCUAAUCCUGGUCGGACAUCAGGAGGUUAGUGCAAAGGCAUAAGCUAGCUUGACUGCGAGAGUGACGGCUCGAGCAGGUGCGAAAGCAGGUCUUAGUGAUCCGGUGGUUCUGAAUGGAAGGGCCAUCGCUCAACGGAUAAAAGGUACUCCGGGGAUAACAGGCUGAUACCGCCCAAGAGUUCAUAUCGACGGCGGUGUUUGGCACCUCGAUGUCGGCUCAUCACAUCCUGGGGCUGAAGUAGGUCCCAAGGGUAUGGCUGUUCGCCAUUUAAAGUGGUACGCGAGCUGGGUUUAGAACGUCGUGAGACAGUUCGGUCCCUAUCUGCCGUGGGCGCUGGAGAAUUGAGGGGGGCUGCUCCUAGUACGAGAGGACCGGAGUGGACGCAUCACUGGUGUUCGGGUUGUCAUGCCAAUGGCAUUGCCCGGUAGCUAAAUGCGGAAGAGAUAAGUGCUGAAAGCAUCUAAGCACGAAACUUGCCCCGAGAUGAGUUCUCCCUGAGACUUUAAGUCUCCUGAAGGAACGUUGAAGACGACGACGUUGAUAGGUCGGGUGUGUAAGUGUAGCGAUACAUUGAGCUAACCGAUACUAAUGAACCGUGAGGCUUAACCUU
Molecule: ribosomal RNA, 2873 nt
Filed under: Citrobacter sp. Cf111
Lineage: Bacteria; Pseudomonadati; Pseudomonadota; Gammaproteobacteria; Enterobacterales; Enterobacteriaceae
Description: 23S ribosomal RNA
Rfam family: Bacterial large subunit ribosomal RNA
Source: RNAcentral